Molecule: ribosomal RNA, 301 nt
Filed under: uncultured bacterium
Lineage: Bacteria
Description: partial 16S ribosomal RNA
Rfam family: Bacterial small subunit ribosomal RNA
Source: RNAcentral
CAGCCGCCGCGGGAAUACGUAGGGUGCAAGCGUUAAUCGGAAUUACUGGGCGUAAAGCGUGCGUAGGCGGUUUGUCAAGUCUGCUGUGAAAUCCCCGGGCUCAACCUGGGAAUGGCAGUGGAUACUGGCAAGCUAGAGUGUGUCAGAGGAUGGUGGAAUUCCCGGUGUAGCGGUGAAAUGCGUAGAGAUCGGGAGGAACAUCAGUGGCGAAGGCGGCCAUCUGGGACAACACUGACGCUGAGGCACGAAAGCGUGGGGAGCAAACAGGAUUAGAUACCCGGGUAGUCCCUGUCUCUUAUAC